GGCAACCCGCUUGGGUUCCCUACCCCAGUGUGGAAGCUUUGUUCUUUUGCUCUUUGCAAUAAAUCUUGCUGCUGCUCACUCUUUGGGUCUGCACUGCCUUUAUGAGCUGUAACACUCACAGCGAAGGUCUGCAGCUUCACUCCUGAAGCCAGCGAGACCAUGAACCCACCAGAAGGAAGAAACUCCAAACACAUCCGAACAUCAGAAGGAACAAACUCCGGACA
Molecule: long non-coding RNA, 224 nt
Filed under: Homo sapiens (human)
Lineage: Eukaryota; Metazoa; Chordata; Mammalia; Primates; Hominidae
Description: HSALNT0307502
Source: RNAcentral